GUAUAGUAAUGCGUUAAGGAUUGAUGCGGCAUCCUUUUUUAUUUUUCUUAAAAAAGAUAUAGCGGAAAGCCUGACCAAGA
This 80-nucleotide small RNA is filed under the name Lacinutrix sp. 5H-3-7-4. RNAcentral describes it as "Flavo-1 RNA". It matches the Rfam family "Flavo-1 RNA". Lineage: Bacteria; Pseudomonadati; Bacteroidota; Flavobacteriia; Flavobacteriales; Flavobacteriaceae. The record is from Rfam by way of RNAcentral.